Molecule: ribosomal RNA, 253 nt
Filed under: uncultured bacterium
Lineage: Bacteria
Description: partial 16S ribosomal RNA
Rfam family: Bacterial small subunit ribosomal RNA
Source: RNAcentral
UACGAGGGACCCAAGCGUUAUCCGGAUUUAUUGGGUUUAAAGGGUGCGUAGGCGGACAUGCAAGUCAGUGGUGAAAUCUCCCUGCUCAACAGGGAAACUGCCAUUGAAACUAUGUGUCUUGAGUACAUUUGAGGCGGGCGGAAUGUGUCAUGUAGAGGUGAAAUUCUUAGAUAUGACACAGAACACCAAUUGCGAAGGCAGCUCGCUAAACUGUAACUGACGCUGAGGCACGAAAGCGUGGGGAUCAAACAGG